RNAcentral lists this long non-coding RNA (230 nucleotides) under Elaeis guineensis (African oil palm). RNAcentral's name for it is "long non-coding RNA (EGUI_LNC075948)". The record is from RNAcentral. Lineage: Eukaryota; Viridiplantae; Streptophyta; Magnoliopsida; Arecales; Arecaceae.
CCACAGCCCUGUUAGGGAUAGGAGAAGAACCUCGCCCUAACAGGAGCAAAGUCGAGGGCCCGGUUACACUUAGACCGGAUGGGAGUAGAGACCCUGCAACGCCCAUAUGUGCCCCCACAGCCCUGUUAAGGACAGGAGGAGAACCUCGCCCUAGCAGGAGCAAAGUCGAAGGCCCGGUUAUACUUAGACCGGAUGGGGGGAGAGGCCCUGCAACACCCAUAUGUGCCCCC